This is a long non-coding RNA of Hordeum vulgare subsp. vulgare (domesticated barley), 1015 nucleotides long. RefSeq lists it as uncharacterized. The transcript has 2 exons. The record is from RefSeq and is a predicted model, not a curated record. NCBI's taxonomy places the organism in Eukaryota, Viridiplantae, Streptophyta, Magnoliopsida, Poales, Poaceae.
CCAGCCCAUCCCCACCCGAUCCCGACCUUCCUCGCCCCUCCAUCCCGAUCGCCGCCCUCGUGACCCCGGUCGCCGCCUCACUCCCAUACAUGCGCCACCGCCUGCUCCUACCUCCAACGCGUCGCCGCUAGCCACUAACACCACACGUGUCGCCGCCAGACCUAACAUUCAACAGCGUUGCCAUCGAAGCCCGACCUUGAAUUGCAUCGUUGACGAGCCCCAACCUCCAAUCGCGUCGCCGCUGGCCCCGACCACCAACCACGCCACUAUUGGGACACCUUCCUCCAGUCGCGCCAUCGUCGAGCCCUGCCAACCAACGCUUCCCCUCCCACUCCUCACGGCCUCCGUCCAACCACUACCUCCCCACCCCAUCCCGCUUGUCUCCGGGCCAACCAUCGCAUCCCCGUCCUUUGGCCCCGACCUUCAGCUGGGGGAGGUAUCGAUCUGUAGUUGGAGGAAGUAUGGACUUGGAGCUGGUCACGCGAAUCGCUGCGACCCACUAUCGUCGAGGUCAACCACCCACAGCCGUUGUUGCAGCAACCAACCAGAGCUGCGCGAAGGAAUCUCAAGCUCCACCACCCGUUGUCACUCUCCGUGUAUGUUGUGCACGGACGAGCCAAUCAUCUCGAAUGGGUGCCACCUCCCUUCCCUGCUCUGUUCUUCAAAUAGCAUCAACGAAGUGGUUCUUUGAUGCCCAUUAGGUGUUCAUGCAAAUACCUAUCAGGGAUUGUCACCACUGCAGCGCCGAGAUCCCCAUUUCCACCAUGUUCCGAUGAAGUCCAGGCUUCUUUUUUGGGCGGUUCAAAUUGUUCUUGGUUUAGUUUUUUUUUUUCUUUUUUUGUCGGUUGCUACCUUGUUCUUGGUCAUUUUGUUAAUUGGUAUUGUGUUCUUUGAAAAUGUGACAAAAUAGGUAGUCACAACAAGAACACAAGGUGUUGUGAUGGAUGUAAGUCCAUUUGAAUAGCAACAGUUUUUCUAUUUUGAUAUUGCUAUUGCAGAAUAAUGUUUCUUAGAA